RNAcentral lists this ribosomal RNA (305 nucleotides) under uncultured bacterium. RNAcentral's name for it is "bacterial SSU rRNA". It matches the Rfam family "Bacterial small subunit ribosomal RNA", at positions 337 to 658 of the family's 1533-position model. The record is from RNAcentral.
UCCUACGGGGGGCAGCAGUGGGGAGUAUUGCACAAUGGGGGAAACCCUGAUGCAGCGACGCCGCGUGAGCGAAGAAGUAUUUCGGUAUGUAAAGCUCUAUCAGCAGGGAAGAAAAAUGACGGUACCUGAGUAAGAAGCACCGGCUAAAUACGUGCCAGCAGCCGCGGUAAUACGUAUGGUGCAAGCGUUAUCCGGAUUUACUGGGUGUAAAGGGAGCGUAGACGGCAUAGCAAGUCUGAAGUGAAAGCCCAAGGCUCAACCAUGGGACUGCUUUGGAGACUGUUAAGCUAGAGUGCUGGAGAGGG